UAGGAAGUUUUUUUUAUGGCUCAGAUUGAACGCUGGCGGCAUGCUUUACACAUGCAAGUCGGACGGCAGCACAGAGAAGCUUGCUUCUUGGGUGGCGAGUGGCGAACGGGUGAGUAACAUAUCGGAACGUACCGAGUAAUGGGGGAUAACUAAUCGAAAGAUUAGCUAAUACCGCAUAUUCUCUGAGGAGGAAAGCAGGGGACCUUCGGGCCUUGCGUUAUUCGAGCGGCCGAUAUCUGAUUAGCUGGUUGGUGGGGUAAAGGCCUACCAAGGCGACGAUCAGUAGCGGGUCUGAGAGGAUGAUCCGCCACACUGGGACUGAGACACGGCCCAGACUCCUACGGGAGGCAGCAGUGGGGAAUUUUGGACAAUGGGCGCAAGCCUGGUCCAGCCAUGCCGCGUGUCUGAAGAAGGCCUUCGGGUUGUAAAGGACUUUUGUCAGGGAAGAAAAGGCUGUUGCUAAUAUCGACAGCUGAUGACGGUACCUGAAGAAUAAGCACCGGCUAACUACUCAGCGUUUGGC
This 523-nucleotide ribosomal RNA is filed under the name uncultured beta proteobacterium. RNAcentral's name for it is "bacterial SSU rRNA". It matches the Rfam family "Bacterial small subunit ribosomal RNA", at positions 1 to 516 of the family's 1533-position model. The record is from RNAcentral. Lineage: Bacteria; Pseudomonadati; Pseudomonadota; Betaproteobacteria.